AAAAUGAUGUGUUGAGUGUGUUGCUCAUUACAUUCUUCCACGAGUAGCUUUAGGUGAUUUUGUGUGGUGGAGAGAAUAUAUACAAGAAACUAAAAGACACUAUGGGAUGUAUUUUCAGUCACAGGAGUUCAUUAAACAGAACUGGACAUUCAAAACUGGACUCCUGAAUUCUGCCUGCAAAGCUUGUAAACUUCAGGAAUGUUUCUGAAGAUGUCAGACUGUAUCAUUUCAUGGACUGGACAGAAUACUAGUUCAGCAGAAAGGAUCCCUGAAAUCAAAUAAACCAUUCCAU
Molecule: long non-coding RNA, 292 nt
Filed under: Bos taurus (domestic cattle)
Lineage: Eukaryota; Metazoa; Chordata; Mammalia; Artiodactyla; Bovidae
Description: long non-coding RNA NONBTAT024882
Source: RNAcentral